This is a long non-coding RNA of Gopherus agassizii (Agassiz's desert tortoise), 2039 nucleotides long. The record is from Ensembl. Lineage: Eukaryota; Metazoa; Chordata; Testudines; Testudinidae.
CUACUGAUCCCAUCCACCUGCCUGUUUUCUGCAAAACCAAGUAGAAAGUCAGUCAGUUGGGUGAUGUGAUGACUUUUGCAGGCCAGGAAAUGAGCUGUGGUAUUAGACUGCCUGGUGUCUCAGCUCAAAGGCAUCUCUAUCUCCGGCUGAAAAUCAGGGUUGAACAAAGGAGCAGCCUGAGAAAGAGGCACAAUCAUGAUGUUUGAAAAACUCCAGACUCUGUAGUUCAGAACAGUCACAUUCUGCAGUGCAAGGAGAGCAGGAAUAGAAGGUAAGGAAGGAUAUGGAAGGAAGAGGAUAUGGAUGGAUUUCUGCUCUUCAUGCUAUCUGGCUUCUUCUGAGUCUCUGUAAAAUCUCCGUGUGAAGUGGAUGUCUGGAGUGGCUCCAGACCAUGGUGAAAGGAUGGCUGGGCCCCAUCUGCCCCCCUUCACUGCUGCCCUGGGACUGGCAUUGCUUGGUGUCCUGGUCUUCCUCUCAGCCCUGUGUGCUGCCUGCAGAAGGAAAGCUAGGAAGAAGGUGGUCCCACCAGAUGGGGUGAAGCUGGUAGAUGUGUCGUUGCUGAGGCAGACGCAGCUCCGAUCGCUCAGUAAAUCUGACACCAAACUGCAUGAACUCCACAGGGUGAAGUGCACUUCUGAGCACCAAAGACCAGCCAGCGUGGAUUUCCUUUAUCCAUCAGGGUCUUUGGGGGAUGGAGAAGGAGCUGUGCAUAGCUCGAGCUUCAGCAUCCUGCUGCACCGAGAGCUGCCCCAGAUCCCCCAUUCCAACCCUUCGGCUGAUGCCCUGAGUCCUGACCAGACCUACUCAAACCUGUCCUUCUUAGCCCCACUAAAACCAGCCCCGGAGGCGCUGUAUGAGUGUGCGGCCAUGACUCAGGAAGAGCCUCAGCCAAUGCCUGUCUUGGGAACCCCUCUAAGUGAGGAGGACAAGGCAGUGACGGCUGAGUACGCCUGUGUCCGCAAGGUGAAGAAGAAUUUCCAGCCAGAGCUCCAGGAUGAGACACAGGGCGAAUCCUCCGUGGGGACGGCAGACCCAGAAGCCUGGGAAGGAGCUGCCUGUAACCCUGCAGCGGUGAAGGUAGAAGAAAUGUACUCGACUGUGUGCAAAGCUGGCAAGAAGAAGAAACACCAAGGCUCUGCUCUGUCCCCUUCUGAAGGAAUGGACACUAGGGAGACAGGCCAAGGAGAACAGGGGUGGCCAGCUGCCCAUCUCAGAGAUGUCAGGGCGGGGUAUCAGUCCACACCGGGUCGAGUCUUACUCACUGAGCCCUGCUAUGAGUCGAUCAGUGAUGGAUCCUGGACUGAGCAUGGCAGGAACCCAGUCCCAGAACCGGCCUACGAGGCAGUAGAUGUCAACUGGAAAAAGCCCAAGAGAAGGGAUAAGUCUACCAAGAACUGCCCUGCCGAGAACUUGUAUGAAAGCAUCAGUGAAAUGUGGGAAGGGGACUCUAGGAACACAGCUACCCUGGCGGCUCCCAAUGGGUUGGAGAUAUACGUAACAGACUGAUAACCCCUUAUGUCUAGCUGCCCCCUUCCUGGGAAGGUCUGUGCUCCUCCACUGAGACCUCCAGCUGUCUCAGGUCUCAGCCACAUGGCGAGGCACAACAAGAACAUCCAACACCACAACAGUAAAUACUAAAAACAUCAACCCGCUCUAAACCCUCCUGCCUCAGGUCUCAGGCCAGCCUGUCACUAACAGGAGUUAAACUUUCCCUGCGGGCUGGGUAUCCCAAUGCUCCUUCUGCAGAACGCCUCACACCUUCCUCUGAAGCAGCUGGUGCUGGGUGUUGUCCGAGGCAGUUCACUGGACUCGGUGGACCUAUGGUGGCCUGAACUACAGGCAAAAGAAUUGAGUAAUUCUAAUGGGUUUGGCAUUGGUUGAGGGUUGUGCCCAUUCUAGGGGGCACAGACACCCAGAUCAGGUGCCUCUCUUCCCUGAGUCUUUAUGCAGGGUCCAGUAAAGCUGGGCACAGAAACCUAGGUAAGGAAAGGGGCAGCUGAGUUAAUAAAGAGGAAUCUCCCGUAUGUAUUUUAAUCCUG